CCUACGGGCGGCAGCAGUGAGGAAUAUUGGUCAAUGGGCGCGAGCCUGAACCAGCCAAGUCGCGUGAGGGAAGACGGUCCUAUGGAUUGUAAACCUCUUUUGUCGGGGAGCAAAAGACGCCACGCGUGGCGUUCCGAGAGUACCCGAAGAAAAAGCAUCGGCUAACUCCGGGCCAGCAGCCGCGGUAAUACGGAGGAUGCGAGCGUUAUCCGGAUUUAGUGGGUUUAAAAGGUGCGUAGGAGGAAGAUCAAGUCAGCGGUAAAAUUGAGGGGCUCAACCUCUUCGAGCCGUUGAAACUGGUUUUCUUGAGUGAGUGAGAAGUAGGCGGAAUGCGGGGUGUAGCGGUGAAAUGCAUAGAUAUCACGCAGAACUCCGAUUGCGAAGGCAGCAUACCGGCGCUCAACUGACGCUCAUGCACGAAAGUGUGGGUAUCGAACAGGAUUAGAUACCCGAGUAGUC
This 459-nucleotide ribosomal RNA is filed under the name uncultured bacterium. Its description in RNAcentral is "partial 16S ribosomal RNA". It matches the Rfam family "Bacterial small subunit ribosomal RNA", at positions 338 to 795 of the family's 1533-position model. The record is from RNAcentral.